CAUUAGAUGACUGAAAACAAGUAAUGGUCUCUUAAACCACCUCAUAGUAAAUUAGUGAUUACUUCUAAUGA
This 71-nucleotide transfer RNA is filed under the name Layahima wuzhishana. Its description in RNAcentral is "tRNA-Lys". The record is from RNAcentral. Lineage: Eukaryota; Metazoa; Arthropoda; Insecta; Neuroptera; Myrmeleontidae.